CUAAGCUUCAUCUCCGUUUCGUUUCUCGACGCACAUCGCCACGCUCUGUCUCGCAUCAUCUCCAUGGGUUUCGUGAUUCCAAUCACAAGAUGUUGCAGAACCCUCUUGCGUCAUCUCUCUUUGCCCCUUCCAACAACGCCGAUUCUGCAAAAAGCUCUUCGCUGACCACGCAUUGAUUGAUUUUCUCCUUCUUUGUUUUUGGUGGUGGCUGUUCUGGUAUGGAAACGUAUAAUGUUCCUGAAACUAGAAACUCGGAUGCUUUCUUGAAUUGACAUGCUGGAGAAAAAGCAGUGAAAACUGGGUUUUCUCUUUCUUUCGAGUUGCUGAUUUGCUUAAUUUUAAGAGGAAGAGCAGAGGUAAAAUGCACAAACUUCAUUUCUUGCCAAGGACCCUCAUAAGCAUUAAGAGGAUCCUGGAACUUGCUUUCUCUGUUUGUUAAGAAUUUACUCAUCUGUUAUGCAUUUUGCUUUUUCUAUCAUUAGAGGUUGGCAGGUUGCGUUACUUAGUGUAUGGUUGGAACUUGGAAUUGAUUUCUUUUAUACUUAGUGUUCUACUACACAAUACUUAUGGAAGUAUUUUGGUUUGUUUGAAUGGAGUUCUUGUGGUAUAACUUGUUUGGAUCAAUUUAUUAUGUAUGCAAAAUUAGAAAGCAGGUUGAAAA
Molecule: long non-coding RNA, 661 nt
Organism: Lotus japonicus
Lineage: Eukaryota; Viridiplantae; Streptophyta; Magnoliopsida; Fabales; Fabaceae
Exons: 4
Source: RefSeq, a predicted model, not a curated record